Molecule: long non-coding RNA, 1241 nt
Organism: Hyla sarda
Lineage: Eukaryota; Metazoa; Chordata; Amphibia; Anura; Hylidae
Exons: 4
Source: RefSeq, a predicted model, not a curated record
GGCAGCGCCUGCUCGCUAUGUAGACGCCGAUUCGUGUAUGUUUGUGAUGAGCCCGCCAUACUGUAUUGUGGCGCUAAAAAAAAGUAUUUAUUUUUUAAACAACAGCAAUAAGCGCCUCAACUAUAGUAAUGACGUCACCACGUUUACAGGCCCGCCUCUUAGGACGCAUAGGGCGUAGACACCACCUUACGCAAAGGCUACGCACUGUCCCGCCCAUUCACGUGAUUUCUCCGAAGUUGUAGUUUCGUUUUGGUAGGUUUCUGGAAGAGAGUGUUCCCGCCUUAUGAGGAGAAGACCGGGCCGUUACAGGGGAUGCUGAAUGAUGACAUUAUACCAGGCAGAAUCCUACCUUCUGGUGAAUGAAGCCCCCAUUCAUUGAUGCAGAUUUCAACCACUGCCACCUAGACAUGUUGUACCCACAGUGAAGAAACAUUGUGAGGUUCUGUCUCCAAUAAAACAGAAGCUUGUGAGGGGGAUUAUCAUGCCAUCGCUGGACUUGGGAUUUAGUCGAUGAUGUUUAAAACUGCUGCUCCCACAGCUGUGUGCUGACUUUUUGUGCUGAAGAAUGACAAAAAUGCCAUCAGAAUACCACCACUCUAGAAACUGCAGGAAGAACACGCCCAGUGAAAGGCCCGAAGAUAACGUCACAGACACACCACCAAGAGCUUUCUUCAACACGCUGCCCAUGCUGGAGAGAAAAUAAAAACAAUAAAUGUUAUGUUACAAAAUCACACCUAUUUUAUUAAACUGCAAUGACUCAUUCCUAUCACUAAAAUCCUAUAACGUUCAUGCUGAGAUGUAGUAAAUAAAAUCCACAAUAUGGACAAAAGUAUUGGGCCUCACCUCUUCAUCACUGAAUGUUACAUGUAGUCCCAUCCCCACAAAUGUAUUAUAUGUGGCACCUUCCAAUCUGUCCUUUCCGGACUGCGUUUGCAAACAUUUGUGAAAGAGUGGAACAUUCUAAAGACCUCACUGAAUACCAGCAUGGUAUUGUAAUAGGAUCCACCACUGUAACAAAUUAUUUCCUGAAGUGUCUUCACUCCUCGAUCUUAUGUGAUCAUCUGUGAGUGAUAUUAUUGAAAAGUAGAAGCAUUCAAAUACCAGCUCAGCAAAGAACUAGAAACUAGGAAUCGACCGAUUAUCGGUUUGGCCUAUAUUAUCAGCCACUAAUGCGAUGCGAUGCGAUGGGGCAACUGUGGUGGUUAGACUAAGGUUCCCAGGACAGGCAGGGGAGAGAGGCG